ACGACGCAAGGUAGAUCCGCCG
Molecule: non-coding RNA, 22 nt
Filed under: Arabidopsis thaliana (thale cress)
Lineage: Eukaryota; Viridiplantae; Streptophyta; Magnoliopsida; Brassicales; Brassicaceae
Source: RNAcentral